Molecule: long non-coding RNA, 1269 nt
Filed under: Sarcophilus harrisii (Tasmanian devil)
Lineage: Eukaryota; Metazoa; Chordata; Mammalia; Dasyuromorphia; Dasyuridae
Description: lncRNA (ENSSHAG00000024449.1)
Source: RNAcentral
AUGAAGGAAGAAAACAUGAAAAGAAGCUGAAGUUUGGCUGGGAAGGUGGAGAAGGAAUCAGAUGGGUGCCAACAGGCCAUAUUCACCUUGUCCAUGGGAGGGAGACAGAGCAGACCCUUGAAACAAAGGAGAAGACCCAAGAAACAUUGAAUGGUUCUGUUGCUGACUGUGCCCACCACUGAAAGAGCAUGGAAGCUGUGGCAUUUGACUCAUGGACAUCAAAAAUUGUUGGACAUCAAAACCCUAAAGAAUCAUUGGAUUCUCUGAGACAUGAUAAGAUUGUUGUAGGACUUCAAAACCCUCAGGAAUCAUUGGAUUCUCUGAGAUAUGAUAAGACUGUUGUAGGACUUGAAAACUCUCAGGAAUCAUUGGAUUUUCUGAGACAUGAUAAGACUGUUGCAGGACUUCAAAAUCUGCUGGGAUCAUCGGAUUCCCUAACACAUAAAAAGACUUGCAGAACUUCAAAAAUUUGUGGGGAUUAUUGGAUUCCCUGACAAAUGAAGAAAUGGACAAUAGAUUGGUUUUGGACUAUUUCUUGACUGCUGAAGAAGGCAUAUGUGUGACUGUUGUUUACAUACCCUCCUUCUAGGACUUCUGGAAAUCCCUUAUAAUACCAUAUUGAUUUAUAUUGUUUGUUAUAUCACUACUCACAUAUACAAUUCAUGUUUGUUGUACCACAUUGAGCCUGUACUGAGUGUGGGGAGAGUCAUCACUAAUAGCCUGUGAGUUAUAGCUAUGUGCUCAUGUAAUACCUCCCAUGCUGAUGGGUUUCUGUGUACCUGUUUCUAAUAAGACUCUUCAGCCCAGAAACCCGCUAGCAAUCCCCACUUCCUUUGGUGCUUUUCAUCUCCUUUCCUGAGAUGUCAGGGAGGGUGUGAUCACCUCCUUUUUGGUGUUUUCACCUCUUUUUUGAGAAGUCAGGGAGGGCAUGAUCAACUCCUUUUGGGGGCUCUCACUAUCCUGAGAAGUCAAGGAUGCCUUGACUACCUGUGUUCUAAAACAAAAGAAAGUGGGAAAUGUAGAGGGCUGAAACUAUUGGGUUGAUCCACUGAGAUCAGGACUGCUGAGCACUUGAGGCUAACUACUGAUUGGACAGUACUCUAUGAAUAUAUGCUUGGAAAAUGGUCCUUUCCACUAUCUAUACUGGCUCAGUGAUUGGUGUAUAGAGGAUUGUAGGAGGGACUAAGGGGUGGAAUAAAAUGAGCAAGGGACACACUCUUGGCGGUAGACGUGGAGGAAGGCAGUCCCACAAAAUCUGCUUCCAUCCUG